AGAUUGAACGCUGGCGGCAUGCCUUACACAUGCAAGUCGAACGGUAGAGUAGCAAUACUCGAGAGUGGCGAACGGGUGAGUAAUAUAUCGGAACGUGCCCAGUCGUGGGGGAUAACGUAGAGAAAUUUACGCUAAUACCGCAUACGAUCUACGGAUGAAAGCGGGGGAUUCGCAAGAACCUCGCGCGAUUGGAGCGGCUGAUAUCAGAUUAGGUUGUGGUAGAGGUAAAAGCUC
This 234-nucleotide ribosomal RNA is filed under the name uncultured soil bacterium. Its description in RNAcentral is "partial 16S ribosomal RNA". It matches the Rfam family "Bacterial small subunit ribosomal RNA", at positions 26 to 266 of the family's 1533-position model. The record is from RNAcentral.